This 236-nucleotide ribosomal RNA is filed under the name uncultured Glomus. RNAcentral's name for it is "partial 18S ribosomal RNA". It matches the Rfam family "Eukaryotic small subunit ribosomal RNA", at positions 569 to 810 of the family's 1831-position model. Lineage: Eukaryota; Fungi; Glomeromycota; Glomeromycetes; Glomerales; Glomeraceae. The record is from RNAcentral.
AGCAGCCGCGGUAAUUCCAGCUCCAAUAGCGUAUAUUAAAGUUGUUGCAGUUAAAAAGCUCGUAGUUGAAUUUCGGGAUCAGUACGCUAGUCGUGCCUUCGGUACGUACUGGUGCUGCUGAUUCCUACCUUCUGACGAACCGUUAUGUCAUUAAUUUGGUGUGGCAGGAAAUCAGGACUGUUACUUUGAAAAAAUUAGAGUGUUUAAAGCAGGCUCGCGCUUGAAUACAUUAGCAU